This is a long non-coding RNA of Talpa occidentalis (Iberian mole), 595 nucleotides long. RefSeq lists it as uncharacterized. The record is from RefSeq and is a predicted model, not a curated record. Lineage: Eukaryota; Metazoa; Chordata; Mammalia; Eulipotyphla; Talpidae. The transcript has 3 exons.
CUCUGGGCAGACCAGAGUAUUCCUACCUGCAGUGAUUCAUUCAGGCCUAAAUUCUGUCCUGCAGCCCAGGUGCUGUAACACUGUGAAAGUAAAGAGAGAUGUAUGUUGCAAUUUUAUCCGAGGAAACAAAGACUAAGCACAAGUAACCUGACAGCGAGUACAAAGAAUGUUAGAGAGAAAACUGAGUGGAAGUGCUGAGGGAAGGCUUCUGGAAGAUAUAAGACCAACUGAAUGGAACACAGGACAUAGGGCCAAGAAAACACACGUAUUUGACUACUUUCUGGAGAAGCCUCCUAGAGAAUCCUCAAGAAUCCACUAAAUGGAGGUGAGGGCUGCUUCAGGUGUCAAGCAGGUGAUGGUCUAUGUCAGACUCUCCAGCCCAGUCAAGCUGCCAGCCGAGUCUCACUAAGUGACCCUACUCAGUGUUUUGCAGCGCUACCCAGUAUAGCCCUGCCCAAAAUGAUGAUCUACAGAUUUAUGAGAUAUAAUAAAGUGCUUGCUCUUUCAAGUCAUUAAAUUUUGGAUAAUUGUUAUGCAAUAAUAAAUCAAUGGAAUAGACACCUACAAGUAACACAGCUGCUUUACUUAAAUAAAU